This is an RNA transcript of Apis mellifera (honey bee), 1185 nucleotides long. It is a transcript of the gene named protein charybde, with no coding region annotated. The transcript has 5 exons. Lineage: Eukaryota; Metazoa; Arthropoda; Insecta; Hymenoptera; Apidae. The record is from RefSeq and is a predicted model, not a curated record.
UCAGAAGAAAUGGAAGAAAGCAUAUGUAUUAAGAACCGAAGAUAUCCGAACGACAAGAAACGGAAAUACCCGAAGUGGAUGCAGUGCGAAACAUCACGUAGCUGGUGUUGCUAGGCGGUCUGUUAAAGAACGAUGGAAGGGAAAAAUUAAGAAGGAGGGGAGUGUUUAUAUAAAAGACGCGUCAUCAUUGGUCGACAAAUCAGUUGUGUCGGUCUAAAUCAUGAUGUAAGUAGAGAUGUAUUACAUUUGACAAUAUAGUGUUGCAGUCUCCAGUGAAAGUUAAAGAGAAAGGAUAGUUAUGAUUGUAUUGAUAUUUAUAUUUAAAUAAUCAAAAAGAGUGAUUUUGUCAGUUUUAUAAAAAUUGUUAAAUUAUUAUUAGUGAAAAUAUAAUAUUGAAGCUUUGAAUACAUUCACAGCAUUGAAGAAAUAAUAUAUAUAUUGUGUAUUUCAAGAAGGUCAUUCUGACAUUACUGUAUCCUGUGCUAUUUGUGUAUGUGUAACAUCUUUCGACAUGGAAGUUUUACCAUGUCCUGUAAAUGUGAACUUUAGUAACACAAGAGUUGGAACAGCUGAAGAAUUUGAUGGAGCCUGCCAGGCUCUAGCAAAACGAUUAGAAGUUGAAUUAAGAAGAGCGAAGCAUGUACAAUUAGCAUGUGGUGAAGUUUUGUUACCUGCUGAUCUUUUGCCAAGAAUAGCUAAAAAUGUACUUAGCAUGGCUGAAAAUGAACCUUGUGGUCUUAGAGGAUGUACAUUGUUUAUUAGUUUUGAAAUGGACAGUGUAUGUAGAAAAUUAUCAAAAAUACAAUGUGACCCUAAUACAGUAUCUACCUUUGAACUUUAUUUAACUUUGAAACAAGAUCAUACAUCUUGGCAUAUUUUGUUACCUCAGUUUCUAAAAAAUCUUACACGAGGAGGUACUAUUAUGAUCAGUAGAGAUUUUACUUUAGAGAAAAAAAAAUUAUAUAGAUCAUAUCAACAAGUAUAAUGAAUAAUCUGAUGAGAUCUGAGAAUCAUUGAUUAAUUUUUUUGAUAAACAUGAUUAUUCUAAGCUCUUCUAACUAUAGGUAAUCAAUAUAAGGAUCAGAAAAAUAAAAAUAAUAAAAAGAAGAUAAACAUAUGAGAUGCAAGAUAAAAUGGGAAGGGGCGAAAUUUAUGGAUUUUAACAAUUGUGAUAUUAAAAAAAAU